CCCGCGCUUCGGUUGKUACUAAGCCUGCGAGUCUUUGYAGUAAURCAAGGCAKACGGCUCAGUAACACGUAGUCAACCUACCCUAUGGACGAGAAUAAUCUCGGGAAACUGAGCAUAAUUCUUGAUAGAUCAUAAUGCCUGGAAUGGUUUAUGGUUAAAAUGAUUCGUCGCCAUAGGAUGGGACUGCGGCCUAUCAGCUUGUUGGUGAGGUAAUGGCCCACCAAGGCGAUUACAGGUACGGGCUCUGAGAGGAGAAGCCCGGAGAUGGGUACUGAGACACGGACCCAGGCCCUAUGGGGCGCAGCAGGCGAGAAAACUUUGCAAUGUGCGAAAGCACGACAAGGUUAAUCCGAGUGAUUUYUGCUAAAGAAAUCUUUUGCCAGUCGUAAAACCRCUGGUGAAUAAGGGGUGGGCAAGUUCUGGUGUCAGCCGCCGCGGUAAAACCAGCAYCUCAAGUGGUCAGGAUGAUUAUUGGGCCUAAAGCAUCCGUAGCCGGUUUUGUAAGUUNUCUGUUAAAUCCAUGUGCUCAACGCAU
RNAcentral lists this ribosomal RNA (535 nucleotides) under uncultured archaeon. RNAcentral's name for it is "bacterial SSU rRNA". It matches the Rfam family "Archaeal small subunit ribosomal RNA", at positions 26 to 567 of the family's 1478-position model. The record is from RNAcentral.